ACAAACCAGGCUCAGUUCUGGGAGUGGAUAAAGGAGCCAUUUUCUUGCUUUUCCUUAGGCCCCUACCUCAGCCACUUUGAGAAAACGUCCUGAAUAAAACUCAGGCACAGACCAUAUUUUAAAAAGUGGUUCCCUAGUCCUUGAACCCCAUCUGAUGCUCCAAGUGUGACAAUCCAGGACUGCUGGCAAGGCAGGAGGAGGGAUGGAGCUUUGUUGGACACAUCAGAAUGCAGGGCUAAGCAUUCCCAGUGUCUUCAGUGAUCCUCAGCAGCAUGGACUCAAGGCCCUCCACCAUUCAUCAUGAGGAUUCAUUGACCCCUGAUCAGGGAGUAAUACUUGAAAUUAUUCUGGAGCCGGUAAAGCAAUGGGACACAGUGGAAAGAAUACUGAAUCUGCAGUUAGAUGACCCGAGUGGAAAUCCUGCAUUUGCUAAUUUAUCCAUGUGACUACGGACAAAUCUCUCAACCUCUCUUGGCCUCAGUUUUCUUUUCUGUAAAAUAAAAGAAUUGGAAUCUAACCUCUGAGUUCCCUU
This 532-nucleotide long non-coding RNA is filed under the name Monodelphis domestica (gray short-tailed opossum). RNAcentral describes it as "lncRNA (ENSMODG00000043448.1)". The record is from RNAcentral. Lineage: Eukaryota; Metazoa; Chordata; Mammalia; Didelphimorphia; Didelphidae.